RNAcentral lists this ribosomal RNA (403 nucleotides) under uncultured bacterium. RNAcentral describes it as "partial 16S ribosomal RNA". It matches the Rfam family "Bacterial small subunit ribosomal RNA", at positions 28 to 526 of the family's 1533-position model. The record is from RNAcentral.
GACGAACGCUGGCGGCGUGCCUAAUACAUGCAAGUCGAACGCAGUGGGGACGGGUUAGUAACACGUGGGUAACCUCCCAUCAGAGGUGAUAACACUUGGAAACACGUGCUAAUCCGAUACUGAUGGAUGGACCCGCGGUGCAUUAGCUAGUUGGUGGGGUAACGGCUCACCAAGGCCACGAUGCAUAGCCGGUCUGAGAGGAUGAUCAGCCACACUGGGACUGAGACACGGCCCAGACUCCUACGGGAGGCAGCAGUAGGGAAUCUUGCGCAAUGGGCGAAAGUCUGAUCGAGCAACGCCGCGUGAAUGAAGAAGGUUUUCGGAUCGUAAAGCACUGUUAGUGGGGAGGCGGUAUCUAACGAGGAAGCAACGGCUAACUACGUGCCAGCAGCCGCGGUAAUUC